This is a long non-coding RNA of Bombina bombina (fire-bellied toad), 339 nucleotides long. RefSeq lists it as uncharacterized. The transcript is spliced from 3 exons. The record is from RefSeq and is a predicted model, not a curated record. NCBI's taxonomy places the organism in Eukaryota, Metazoa, Chordata, Amphibia, Anura, Bombinatoridae.
GCUCCUUCCUGAAAACUGAAACCCAUGUCUGAUUGACAUGGGGAUAUUAAUACGUUGGACACAGGAAUUGAAAGUUCACUGGAACUGUUUGCAGAAUUCUUCCUGUUGCUUACCAAAAUCUUCAGAAAUUGUAGAUCUCUUUAAAUCUUACAAGAAGUCUGAUGUAUGUAGACAUUUUGUAUUCAAGGGAUUAAAAACAAAGCCACAAUUAUCACUAUAAAUAUGAUGCUAUCAGUUGUUUAUUGUAUCUGCCUCAUUAUAAAUUUCAUGGAAACAUGUUAUACAUAUCCAAGGAUAACAAUGCCAGAAAAACAACAGGCUCUUAGAAGUACAUUUAGG